This 1172-nucleotide long non-coding RNA is filed under the name Bos indicus x Bos taurus (hybrid cattle). Its description in RNAcentral is "lncRNA (ENSBIXG00005022954.1)". The record is from RNAcentral. Lineage: Eukaryota; Metazoa; Chordata; Mammalia; Artiodactyla; Bovidae.
GCCCUUCCCCUCCUGCAGACUGCGCAACCGCCACACGCCCCGGGACACCAUGCCGGCAUUGUGAGCAGACUAAUCGCCACAUACCACUCGGUUUUCCUUCCUGGACUGCGUCACAGGCCCGGAGCCCUGCGGUUCCCACAUUGUUUCUGUCAUCAUCCCAAGAAGCAUAACUCUUGAGGCUGCGUCUGAGCGGGACAGCCUGUCUCAGCACGAGCUUGGACUCUUAUGUAAGUGGCUGUGGGGAGAACUGGCAGUAAACAAACAUUUUUCCAGCCAUUGUUUUCUUUGCCGUCUUGAAAUUUUUUUUUUUCCCUCUGGGGCCACUGCAGCUCUUCUGCCCCCAGGAUGGCAGAUUCCCAGCUUAGAAAUGCCUUGCGCGGCAUUUCCAGAUUCUAAAAUCAGAACGGAGUGAACCACAGUGUGCAAAGAAAUGCCUGAGCAUGGGAACAUGUAGAUGGCUUUGUCUGCAAGGGUAUUUGAAGCAGCGUGUCAGCAAGCUUGUCCACUCAGCUGUGCUGCUGAUAGCUGUUUGGUCUGGGAUUUGACCCCAAACAUCACGAUCCGAGAAGUAGGCCAUUUACAGACCAGUUCUGAGGAUGCUCAAUCCACAGAAGUCCUGUUUAUUUCUACCAGCUUCCAUUUCCAAGGACAAACUGAAUUUGGCCAUCUAUACGCUGCCUAAACUUUGCAUUUAAGGAGCUCUGAAGAGAAGCAGAAUAUUAACGUUAAAAUGAGAUUGUAUCGGUUGCAUAAUGAAUGUAGGAUAAAGAUGCCAGGCUGGCUCCCUGGAGGUAAAUCAACCCCCUAAAAGCUGCUACCUGAGUGGCACUGAGUAAUUAAACCGCAAACUGCACUGGAACAGGUUUCAAGUGGGACUGAGGAAGUAGUCGUAAACUAAAUGACUUCUGCAUCAUCAGGGGAUUAGUUUUUGUUUUGUUUUGCUUUGUUUUGUUUGUAAACCUCCACUUGAAAGCUGUCUUCUCUCUGCCAGAAGUUAGGGUGGUUCAGAGAACUCAUCUCCUGAUGUAUAGAGAAAUUGCCGGAGGCGAUUCUGAAGGGCAUCUUCUGGGAGCCGGUUUCGAAGAGCAUGAUUGGAUUAUAAAGAUGAUGAUAGCUAACGUUAAAAAUAUUCUUACUAUAUACAUGCAAGAACUGUGCUAACUGAAUAAAAG